This 373-nucleotide ribosomal RNA is filed under the name uncultured bacterium. RNAcentral describes it as "bacterial SSU rRNA". It matches the Rfam family "Bacterial small subunit ribosomal RNA", at positions 8 to 383 of the family's 1533-position model. The record is from RNAcentral.
AGAGUUUGAUCCUGGCUCAGAUUGAACGCUGGCGGAAUGCUUUACACAUGCAAGUCGAGCGGCAGCGCGGUCUUCGGACUGGCGGCGAGCGGCGAACGGGUGAGUAAUACAUCGGAACAUGCCCAGUCGUGGGGGAUAACACUUCGAAAGAAGUGCUAAUACCGCAUACGUCCUGAGGGAGAAAGCGGGGGAUCGCAAGACCUCGCGCGAUUGGAGUGGCCGAUGUCAGAUUAGCUAGUUGGUGGGGUAAAGGCCUACCAAGGCAACGAUCUGUAGCUGGUCUGAGAGGAUGAUCAGCCACACUGGGACUGAGACACGGCCCAGACUCCUACGGGAGGCAGCAGUGGGGAAUUUUGGACAAUGGGGGCAACCC